GAUGAACGCUGGCGGCGUGCCUAAUACAUGCAAGUCGAGCGAACAGAUGAGGAGCUUGCUCCUCUUACUUUUGCGGCUGACGGGUGAGUAACACGUGUAUAACCUACCUAUAAGACUGGUAUAACUUCGUGAAACCGUCUCUAAUACCGGAUUAUAUAUUUAACCCCUUGGUUCAAUAGUUAAUGUCGUUUUUUCUGUCACUUAUAGAUUCAUCCUCGCCGCAUUCGCUAGUUGGUAAGGUAACGGCUUACCAAGGCAACCAUGCGUAGCCGACAUGAGAGGGUGAACGGCGACACUGGAACUGAGACACGGUCCAGAAAACUACGGGAGGCAGCAGAAGGGAAUAUUACGCAAUGGGCGAAAGCCUGACGGAGCAAAGCCGCGUGAGUGAAGAAGGUCUGCGGAUAGUAAAACUAUGUUAUUAGGGAAGAAAAAAUGUGAAAGAAACAAUGCACGUAUUGACGGUAGCUAAAAAGAAAGCAACGGCUAACGACGUG
Molecule: ribosomal RNA, 497 nt
Filed under: uncultured bacterium
Lineage: Bacteria
Description: partial 16S ribosomal RNA
Rfam family: Bacterial small subunit ribosomal RNA
Source: RNAcentral